GACGAAGGGGGCUAGCGUUGUUCGGAAUUACUGGGCGUAAAGCGCGUGUAGGCGGUUGCCCAAGUCGGGUGUGAAAGCCUUGAGCUCAACUCAAGAAAUGCACUCGGUACUGGGUGACUAGAGGACCGGAGAGGAUAGUGGAAUUCCCAGUGUAGUGGUGAAAUACGUAGAGAUUGGGAAGAACACCAGUGGCGAAGGCGGCUAUCUGGACGGUAACUGACGCUGAGACGCGAAAGCGUGGGGAGCAAACAGG
RNAcentral lists this ribosomal RNA (253 nucleotides) under uncultured bacterium. RNAcentral's name for it is "partial 16S ribosomal RNA". It matches the Rfam family "Bacterial small subunit ribosomal RNA", at positions 524 to 776 of the family's 1533-position model. The record is from RNAcentral.